UACAGAGGGUGCGAGCGUUAAUCGGAAUUACUGGGCGUAAAGCGUGCGUAGACGGUAAUGUAAGUCGGGUGUGAAAGCCCCGGGCUCAACCUGGGAAUUGCAUUCGAGACUGCGUGGCUAGGGUGCGGAAGAGGGAAGCGGAAUUUCCGGUGUAGCGGUGAAAUGCGUAGAUAUCGGAAGGAACACCAGUGGCGAAAGCGGCCUCCUGGUCCAGCACCGACGUCAGGCACGAAAGCGUGGGGAGCAAACAGG
This 252-nucleotide ribosomal RNA is filed under the name uncultured bacterium. RNAcentral describes it as "partial 16S ribosomal RNA". It matches the Rfam family "Bacterial small subunit ribosomal RNA", at positions 524 to 776 of the family's 1533-position model. The record is from RNAcentral.